RNAcentral lists this ribosomal RNA (1164 nucleotides) under uncultured bacterium. Its description in RNAcentral is "bacterial SSU rRNA". It matches the Rfam family "Bacterial small subunit ribosomal RNA", at positions 340 to 1480 of the family's 1533-position model. The record is from RNAcentral.
UACGGGAGGCAGCAGUGGGGAAUCUUCCGCAAUGGGCGCAAGCCUGACGGAGCAACGCCGCGUGAGUGAAGGAGGUCUUCGGAUCGUAAAGCUCUGUUGUCGGGGACGAAUGUAAUGGGGGCGAACAGUCUCUGUUAAUGACGGUACCUGACGAGGAAGCCACGGCUAACUACGUGCCAGCAGCCGCGGUAAUACGUAGGUGGCAAGCGUUGUCCGGAAUUAUUGGGCGUAAAGGGAGCGCAGGCGGGAAGGCAAGCGUGUCUUAAAAGUGCGGGGCUCAACCCCGUGAGGGGACACGAACUGUCUUUCUUGAGUGCAGGAGAGGAAAGCGGAAUUCCCAGUGUAGCGGUGAAAUGCGUAGAUAUUGGGAGGAACACCAGUGGCGAAGGCGGCUUUCUGGACUGUAACUGACGCUGAGGCUCGAAAGCCAGGGGAGCGAACGGGAUUAGAUACCCCGGUAGUCCUGGCCCGUAAACCGAUGAAUGCCUAGGUUGUGGGAGGUUAUCCGACCCCUUUCCGUGCCGGAGUUAACGCAAUAAGCAUUCCGCCUGGGGAGUACGGCCGCAAGGCUGAAACUCAAAGGAAUUGACGGGGGCCCGCACAAGUCGGUGGAGUAUGUGGUUUAAUUCGACGCAACGCGAAGUAACCUUACCAGGCCUUGACAUUGAGUGAAAGGCAUAGAGAUAUGCCCCUCCCUUUCGGGGACACGAACACAGGUGGUGCAUGGCUGUCGUCAGCUCGUGUCGUGAGAUGUUGGGUCAAGUCCCGCAACGAGCGCAACCCCCUGUCCCUUGUUGCCAGCGCGUAAAGGCGGGAACUCAAGGGAGACUGCCGCGGACAACGCGGAGGAAGGCGGGGAUGACGUCAAGUCAUCAUGCCCCUUAUGGCCUGGGCUACACACGUACUACAAUGGGAAGGACAGAGGGCAGCGAAAGGGCGACCUCAGGCGAACCCCAAAAACCUUCCCCCAGUUCGGAUUGCAGGCUGCAACCCGCCUGCAUGAAGUCGGAAUCGCUAGUAAUCGCAGGUCAGCAUACUGCAGGUGAAUACGUUCCCGGGCCUUGUACACACCGCCCGUCACACCACGGAAGUCAUUCACACCCGAAGCCGGUGGGCUAACCUUACGGAUGACAGCCGUCGGUAAAGGUGGGGCGAUGACUGGGU